GGCCAAGUUGCCUGGGUUGAGGUAAGAUGAAGGAUAACCUCACAUUUUACCAGUGAAUAGAGAAAAGACACUCAAUGAUGUCCUCUAGGAGAGAAUUCAAGGGGUGUGUGGAAGUGGAAAGGGUCUGAAGAAUUUGUUCUGUAUUUGAGCUCCAAAGCCACCAUUCUAGGCUGCAUGGCUGAAUUCCAUUACCUGGGGUCACUUGGGUUCCCUGCCCCUGGCCAGUGGCAUGGCCUGGAACGAGAAGGCUGGAAUGGGAGUUUAGGAGGCUCUGAUGUGCCUCAUGGCUGCAUCCUAAAGAGCAUGCACUCACUCCUCUGCCAGCCAAGCAACCCCAGGUGCAGAGACAGGGAAACCUCUCUAGACUAACCUAAGAAUCAAACAUUAACCCAAAGUGAGGUACUUAAACAGCUCCAGCAAGCAAGAAAAUACAAUAAAUACCAUUCCAUUUACCAGCUUUCCAAGAUUGAAAAGAGAGAGUUAGCAUUAAAAUGCAUUUAAAAAAGAAAAAUCAAGUCAGUCUACAGAAGCUGGGGGAAGGAGGGAACACAUGGAGUCACAAUUCCUUCCAAGCCCACAGAAAGCAAUAAGAGUUCUCAUUUAACCCGGGGAAAUGACUGGCGAAUCACUUGUACUUUGAAACGAUUCUAAAUUGCAAACUAAUUCCCCAGUGGGAUAUGUUGAUGGCCUACUGUACCCAGCAUAAAUAAUGAGUUUGCAACCAGGAUCCCAAAUAAAGUGGUGCACGUUUGUGGAAUUCAUGAACAAGUUUCCCCCUCCGUCAUGUGACAUUGCAAUGUUAAUGCUUCCAGUUAGGAGUUCCACUGUGUCAGCAGGUGAAUUCCCUGGCAGUAAGUCAAACUUUAAUGGGACAUGCUGGGGGAGCCAUUAUGCUGCUGCAGUGUAAACUCUGGAGUCAGUGUUAGGCUUCGAGAGGUGUGGACAUGGCCUGGUACCUAUUCUGCUUGCAGGUGUUCUUUUCUGUUUGACUUUUAAUGCUAUAUUUUAAAUUGACCGUGACAAAGUUAAGUUUCUGUCUAAUAAAGGAUUUAGAUACAAUGGAUCUACUCAAACCUUUCUCUCUCUCUCUCUCUCUCUCUCUCUCUCUCUCUCUCUCUCAAAAACCGUUUUUAUACAAGGAAGAAAUCUGAGGGUGGAGAGGGUUAAGUAGCUGGUUAGAUCAGACACACUAAUACAGAGCAGAAUUGGGACGUAUUAGUGGGAGUUCCAACUGGGAGAACUGGAACAAGGCGUUCCCACCUAGGACUCACCCACUCCUUUGUUCUCUCUUAAGGAUGCUGUCUUUCACUGGGAAAAACAAAAACAAAAAUAAAGCAGGAAAGUGCAAUAACUUUUACAAAUAUAUUUAAGAAUGUUUGACGAAAAGAGGAAUCUGAGUUAUAAUUUAAAUAAUAGGAAGCAAAACAUGUAACCUAGUGUAGCUAAACAUCCAGAUUGCAAUGAGAAAUAGAUACAUAAUAAGAUAAGUCUACAAGAUAUUUUUAAAAAUACAUAUAGGGCUUCAUUCCUUAAACUUAAAACUAGGUUGUCACUGAAGAGCAAAGAUCAUGCCUGUGAACACCACACUGAGCUGGGGAUGAGACCUGGGGUACUUACGUAUUAGAGCAAGGCUUGUCUCCUUAGCCCCUUCUCCUGGGCUCGCUCAGUGACAUGGGGAGGCUCUUGCCCUCAGAGCAGUUCUAGCCACACAGCUCCCUUGGCAUCCCAGCGCUCUGUCGCCUGUGGAUAGUCUUCCUUUACCACACUGUCUUUGGUAAAGCCCUGCAAAUACAGCAAGAUCUGAGUUCUGUGCCAGCUUGAGAAUUGGUGCCACCGUUGCAAAGCCAUGCCAUCUGGGUUUGGAAUACCAACCAAUGAUCAGCCUACACCUAAGGACCAAAGCAGAUACAGCCGCAGUGAGCCUCAGGAGGCUGCACCUCUCCGCCAGGUGGUUCUCUGGCCGACCUCUGGAGAGCCACCUGCUCUCCACCCCGGUCCUCUGUGGCCACACCCACACUUCUGCACCUUCUCCACAACAUUCAAUCCUCUUCCCUAACACUUCUUUACCAAGAUUGACCAAGACUUUCCAGAUGCUGGCAUCAAAGGAUGCGCAGGUGAAGCUGUGGUCCUACGCCUGCAAGUAUCCUUUUCACAACUUCCAAAUUCACAUCUCUAAUCUGCAUCUUUCUUCUGUGUAUUAAACAUAUCGGGUUUUUGUUGUCAACUAAAUUAUUGCAGGAAUUUACACAUGAAUCUGUCUAAAUGAAUGGAAAUCUGAGGAGAGUAACUUCUUCCCCAAAUCUACAUAAUCUUUCUGUGCAUUUAAUGAUGAAUGUAAUGCCCACCCACAAGUUGACUACACAGGUGACCCCAGGAUAGAUCCUUUACUUCUCCGUCACUCUUCAACUUUCAGUCCAAGUGCUGACACGAUUUCUCUUUUUUUCAUCUUCAUGCCUUUCCAGCCUUCUGCCUUUUUCAUCCCUACUCCACUGUGGAGGGCCUCAGUGGCUCCCUGACCAUGGGUGACUGACAGUCCAUCAAGCCCCCUCCCUGUCUGCGGCCAAGCUGCCUCCAUGUCUGAAGCCCUCACACUCCCAGCGCUCAGCUCUAGCUCAGCACUUAGGGGUGGCAUUGUUCAGUGUGUUGACUCAGCCUUCUCCAUAAGCCACCUGGUGGGAGCUAGAAGCUAUGUCUUUUAAUAUUUCAAGAUGCCUGGCCCAGAAUAAGUAUUCAAUAUAUAAUUUCUAGGUGAGUAAUUGGCCAAGUAUCUAAAGCAAAUUAUCAUAAUUGCACUCAUACAUUCCCACGUAUAUGUUUUUAUGUGAUUUUAGUUUUGUUGUUCAAUUUUGUACACUUAGAAAAUACCAGCCCAAGCACUUUUUUACUUCCCACCUUGCUUUUUAUGCUAACAAUAAACAUAUUAAUUGAAGAAGGGUUGUUUUUCUCAGGCACAUUUUAUGACUUUGUAUUUAUUAGCUUAUUUUAUUUCUCCAACAGCUACAUAGGUAGUUCUUAUUAUUAUUCCCCCCAUUUUUACACAUGAAGAAACUGAUGCACAAACAGAAGCAGAAUAGGACCAGAAGCCAGAUGCCAGCGCCAGGGACCCUGCCCUGGCUGCUGCCGUGAUCUUGCCCAAGCCACUGUUGCGCUGCUUCUUGCCUCCCUUCCAUUCGUGAGGAGUGGGCAGAGGGGAGCCUCACUCCAGAAUCAAUUGCAAUGAGCCUCCCAGCUGGAAGCCAUGGGCCUCGUCAAGCGACUAGCCUGUUCUUGUCACCAGUGGUCUGUACCAUGUGCAUGGGAUGCAGAUGGUUUCAGCAUGAAGUAAAGAAAAUUGGCCACGAGGGCUGAGUGGUGGCUCAGUGGUAGAGCACUUACCUAGCCUGUGUGAGGCACUGGGUUCGGUUCUCAGCACCACAUAUAAAUAAAUAAAAAGAAAAGUCUACUGAAAACUAAAAAAUAUUUUUAAAAAAAGAAAGAAAGGAAGGAAAGAAAGAAAAGUGACCAUGAAUGAGUUCAGAAGUGGCCAAAAUCAUUAAGAUCUAGAAAUGCUUGAGCAUUCCUUUCAGAAUCCAGAUGUGAUAAAAAAUUAUUCAAAAUACAUGUAGAACACUUAUCCUGAGUUCCAUAAAGAGAUCCAAAAGUGAUGGAGAGUCCCUUUACGAUUCUUUGUUAAUCUUCUGACAAUCCCAUGAGGAAAGAUUCAUUUCAAUCAGUGCAGAUGACCUGAGGAGCUCUCAGUCGCUCCUGGCCCUCCAGAGUCAUGGCAUCCCUAGACCUCCGAUUUUUAUAAAAUAUUUGAAAGUAAGGUUGAACGUUCCUGUUCUAAAAUACACGGCUGCAUGUGCUAAGUGCUUUCUAGAGUAUUGUGACUUGUGUCAGGGUGGUGGUGACAGAAGGAAUGAAUCUGUUCAUUUGUUUAUGCCCGCUGGUGGAAAACAAACUGAAUAUCAGCCAACAUAAUUCAGUUGACACUGUUCUGAAAUAUCCUCCUCCCACACAAAGCAGGAUUUCACAUUUGCAGAAAAUAUUUAUCUCAACAGCAAGCAAGCCCAUACUGGCUCAUUUCAUAGCUUUAAAUCACCACAUGAAGGAACGUGACCAGGCCAAGUCUGGAGUGCUCCGGCUCAGGUAGGGAUGAAGCGUGUCACCAGUUCCCAGGGGCUAUCAGGGAGAUGGCAGCAGGCUCCACAUGAAACAACCUUCGGUCAGUUGUUUUGCCCCACUGGCCAACAUGGACAGGUCACUAUGGCUUGACAUCUGCUUGAAUGCCAAGCGGAAAGUUUGAAGAAGGCAUUUCAUUAUCUCAAUCAGGAUUACGUCCUGUGCUCUUGAAUGAUAUUCCAAGUCAGGUUACAACUUUUCUCUUAUGUCUCAUAAUUGUUUCAGUAAGAAUAAAUGUUGAAAGGGAAAUGUAUCCCAUUUGUAAAAACCUUGAAACAGUUAAGCAAUGAACCCAAUUAAGUAGCCUUUUUUUCCCAGAAGAAAGUAAUGUUUUAAAUCAAUUAAUUAAUUCUUUUUAUAAGCGUGUAUUGCCGUCACCUACAACAUAGCUGUCACUGAGCUAGGCAAGAGAAGGGCAAACAAAACACAUUUCCUCUGCCUCCUCGUGGGUUACAGUGUCUUGAGGGGACAUUCAGAAAUAAGUGACUGUGGGAUAUGUUAAGUACUUUGGCAGCACUGUGAAUAAACACUGUGGAUAACAAGGCAGAAACACAGAUACUUCUUGGAGUUUGGGCAACAGCCUAGGACAGAAGACACCUUUGCUUUGUGAGUGAGUGGAAGCUCACCUGUACACCAGUAUGAGAGCAGGGAAGGCAAGAAGUUGGGAUCCACCUUUCAACUCCUGGUGCCACAGAGACAAUGAGCCUGGUUAUGGGAAGGCCGAAGAGCUGGGUCCAGGAAAAACAUAGGGGAAUUGGCCUUGAGCUUUCCUCUAAAGAGUUCUUUUUAGAUAUUUUAACUUGAGCAGGUUUGUAAAUCUCUACCCAUCACAGUCUGGAAGCUGGGGUAUAUAUAAAGCACAGAAGAAUUGCCAAGAUGCUCAAGGGGAAAUUAUAUUCAAUAGAGGCAGAGAGGAUGUAAAGACGGAUUUUUUUUUAAAUUUUUUAUUUGUUCUAAUUAGUUAUACGUGCCAGCAGAAUGCAUUUUGAUCAUUGUACACAAAUGGAACACUACUUUUCAUCUCUCUGGUUGUACAUGAUGUAGAGUCAUACCAUUUGUGCAAUCAUACAUGGUCCUAGGGUAGUGAUGUCCGUAGGUAGUGGAAUAAGGAUGGGAUUUGAAGAACUGCAGAGGCAGAGCCCCAGGGAGCUCCGCCAUUACCUAGAGAAUUCCACACUGUAACCGAGCUGUCGCUCACAGACUCCAGGAGAAGCCAGAGCCUUGGAACUGCAAAGUCAAGGAAGGUCUGACUGAAGACCUGGGUCCGGCCCCUUGUCCUGUUGCUUCCAGAUGAUGUUGCACAUACUGGGCCGGGGAGGCCACCUCACGCCACAGGCUGUGAUUAUACUUGCAUUUCAGUCACUGGUCAUUUAUGUGUGGGAACAAAGGCCAGUGGUCUCAUGGUCUCAUGUUUAAUGGCACUUCUUUUUUUUUUUUUUUUGCAUGUGGGCAGCUGCCUGUAAAUAUUUAUGAAAUGAAUGAUUUUUUUUUUUGGAAAUUUUUAUUGCCUAAAAUAGUUCCCUUUCCCCAAUUCUAGUUGUUUGUUGGUUAUUUUGAAGCCUAAGUUAAAGGAAUCUCUUCAGCUCUGAAGUAGAAGCUUUAGAAGUGAAAGGUCUGGUAAACGUGUAGUGACUGGUGAUGGAUUCCAGUUGGAGGGGCCAUGGAGAUAGGUGUUGAGCAAGGGUUGCUUAGUGUGGGAGAAGCUGCCUGAAGCCAGCGUCCAUGUUCCCUGCAAGUUCCUUUCUCUAGGAAUAUUCAGAGAACAACCUGGGUUUGGUGAGUUCCCAUAAUGGAUAUGAAAUUGGCCACUUUUGAUGUGUAGAGUUUAUCUGAGAGCCAAAGAGGUGUCAUGGGCCACAUAUUGAUACUGACUCCUUUGACAAAAGUGUGCUUCAUCUUGAUUACUUACUGCUAGAGAUGUGUCUUAGAAGCCAGACCAUGUUAGGGAAUAAAGCCGGCUAGUCUAAGCCUACCUUUAUGGGAAAAGGGAGAAUGUGAAAGUUUUUAAUGCUUUUCAGAGUCCAUCAGAAGAUAAUUUACAUUUUAGGCUACCUAUUAAGAGUCCAAUUACCUGGGUGCAGUGGUGCACCCCUGUAAUCCCAGUGGCUCUGGAAGCUGAGGCAAGGAGGAUCACGAGUUCAAAGCCAGCCUCAGCAAAAGUGAGGCACUAAGCAACUCAGUGAGAUCCUGUCUCUACAUAAAAUACAAAAUAGGGCUGGGGUUGUGGCUCAGUGGUUGAGUGCCCCUGGGUUCAAUCCCUGGUACAGCCCCCCUCCCCAAAAAAAGAAGAAAGAAAACAAAACAAAGAAAAAAAUCCAAAUGGACUAAAAGCUAAAAUAGUUCAAAUCUGAUUGUCAUAUCCACCAAUGUCUACACUGCUGGUUUAAUGCAGAACAUCCAGUUCUUUCAGAGUCCCAGAAUAAAAUUAAAUUUACAGCAAUUUUUCUUAUUAGUAUAUUUGGUAAUAUUCUGCUUAUAUGAAUAUUGGUAAGUCAUGUCAUUGUUACACAUCCAUUCAUUCAGAAAGAGGCAUUUCAGUUCAGCUAUUUGAGAGGAAGUAUGCUAGUUGUUUGGGGUGUGAAUAAAUUAGGAAGGGUCCCUGCUAAAAAUCUAGUACAUUCAAGAGGCUAAAAAUCUAGUACAUUCAAGAGGCUAAAAAUCUAGUACAUUCAAGCUGGGUCUUUGUACUUGUGUUUUCAUGGUUCUUGGGCCCAGUGGGCAUUUGUCACACUUGGCUAUAAUGUCCUGUUCACAGAUAAUGUGCAAAAAAAGAGGAGAAAGAACAUUAGGAAAAAUUUUUUAAAAAAAUAGCAAAAGGCCUUCAGUCACUUAUAUUGACAACAGCAUCUUAUUUAUUAAAAAUGCAGAUAUUCAGGUCAAAACUCAGUUAAUUGAUAACCGUAACCACACUGAGGUAAAGAAAAUUCAAGAUUCAAGGCAACUGAAAUCAUGAAUAGCUCAUUGCUCAACUUAAUUGUUCUUUCUCCUCUUAAUACCGCCUGUUAACAUUUUGCAAUUGGAAUGUUUUCCAUCUGUGCCUUUACUUGAAUGGUGUGAAUAUAGCUGAUGAAAACUAUUAUCACUCUGUCUUUCAGACUUCGAUCUGCUUUGUGGUGACACGAUUACAAGCAGAAAAAUGUUAGUGCAGUCAUCCACUUGAUGUUAUAUAGUUUUAUGUCCCAGGGUUAGAGUUUCCCAUCUGUACUUCAAACUGCUCUAGUCAUUCUUAUUGUGAUAGGGAAUACCUAGGUAGACACGUGCAGAAAUGUCACCUGUGUGAUUGAUCAUAAUUGUGAAUGCUCUGUUGCGCUCUUUUAAAGAUUCAGGGUAACACUAAAUGUAAAGAUGCUCUUGUGUUAAUAAAUAAAAAUAAUUAGAAUGUAUGAAUUUGUCCAGUGUUACUUUGGGAUAUUCUUCCAAUAAAGUGUCCUGUGUUAAGUGUGAGAUUGGAGAAAAAAGUGAGAGGUUGGACAAAUGAGGAAAUAAAAUACUUAGGCACAAGAAGAAGAGUGUGACUUAAAGAGGAACUUAAGGCAGCGAGGGUAAAUGACUAUUUUGCAGGAUGUUUACUUUGUGUUUGAAAUUAGGAAAUUUUACAAAUCAUUUGACUGCAUAGGGAUGUCAUCUACUUUCUGUGUAGUUAACAUGAUUAGAAGAAAUUUGGAUUAGAAAAAAACAACAAAUGCUUUUUUACAUUUCUAUGUCAACAGAUAUUAGCCCAUAAUUUAGGCAAGGGAGGUAUUUCCUGCUCUGACAUGCUCAAAAAUAAGCCUGUGACUUUAUAUUUUAUUUUGUUUCUGUUUUUGAGGAAAUGCAACAGAAAGAAUUGUUACCCUUGUGGCCCCUGUGUCAGGUAAUGCCCGUGCCCCAUGGGCAAGUGUAGGAACUAGUCUUAGCCAGGACACAAGAUUUCCUCCAAAGCGAGUUCUUUGUUCAGAUUCAAAUACCAGUCUUCAGAGCACAGUGAACCAAGAGUACACUGCAGACAUGAUGUGCUUGAAAUCCACAGUUCGUCUUUCAUCUGUGUAAUUACAUUGGAAGAAACAGGCAGGAGCGUGCUGAGGACAUGCCUGGCUGGGAAUUGUGCUUGGUGAGGCCUGAGUGUAGGAGCCCCUCCCAUGCCCCGUUGCAACCUUAAGCACCAGUACAGCUGAAUUUGAAGGAAGAAGUAAUUCAUGACAUGUGAGUUCAUAAGGGUGGGGCCCUGACCAGGUUGGAUUAGUGUCCCUGUUGGAAGAGACACUGAAGAGCUUCCCCUCUCUGCAAGCAUGCACACACAGCACGGCAAGCUCUGUGAGGGUCUAGGGCCAGGCAGGAGGCAUCUGGAGGCCAGGACAGAUGUGAUUUUUUCUUAAUUCCACAUUCGGUCUUUUUUUUCCUCCUGAGAGUCUCAGGAACAACAAUGAAAGCCUACGGCAGUGGGAAAGCAAAACUGUUUUUAUUUUUGACCAAGAAGAGAAUUGGGUGACACUCUCACAAAUCAGCUUCUCAGCCUGAACAAAGACUGAGAAUUCCUUUAAGGUAAGGGGAGAGGGAAGAUCUUAGGUAGCAAGCAGGAGGAUUACACAUGACUUUUCUGGAAAGGACUCCGGGCUUGGCCUGGCCUUCCCUUAUUCAUUACCAGCCCCUUUCCAGUCUAGGUCCAGAAUGGUUGGCCAAGGUGGCCGGAGGGUGGGAGUUUGACUGGGGUGAUGUGUGACACUGGAAGGUGCAGAGUCUGGGUCACCCUGGGUCCUCUGUGGCAAAGCCAGCUCUAACCUGUCAUGCAGCAGUGGUUGCCAGAGGCCCGAGUGGCCUGUUUGGUGGUUUCAUCAUCUGAGAGGAACACUGAUUGGUGAAGUGGGCUGCACUGCUCAGGGCUUUGAGGGGGUGUCUGCCCUUGACAGACACUGACCCAACUGGACCUUGACCUGGGACUUCAGCCUCUGCACUCAGUCCAUGGUAUUUUGUUAGGAUUGUAAGAGUCAAUGUGUUUUUUAUAAAAGAAGUUUAUAGCUAAUGAAUGUUUAUGGAUACUUCCUCAAAACCUCUUUUUUUGAACAACUCAUUGGAGAACACUUGCCCUCGUUGUUCUUAACGUAGGUAUUGUUCACACAAGGCCUUUGCAUUUGUGGUCCUCAGGAAUGGUUAAGAUCUAAGAUACAAGACGAGAACCAAACAGGACAAUGUUGGUUCGGAUCUUCCAGAAUCCAGCCCAUGCCUCUGCAUUUCUCUAAUCAUUAUGUUUUUCAAGAUGAUAACAAAAUGUUCCCAGUGGACAGGACAGGGACUUUGAAGUCCAGAUCCAAAUAUUCAAUGGCAAUUGAGAAGCCAGGGGACACUUUUCUGGGCGGUCAGGGAAAGGCGAGCUGCUCUGGGACUGAGUGCUGUGGGGUUGAUCACACUCGUAGUUCCCGGGAGAUGUGCUGAUUUCACAGGGCUCUUUGUGAUGGUGAAGCGUGAGCAGCCUGCCUGUGUGUGUCUCUGUGUGCGCUUCCUACACGCUCUUCCCACUUGUCCAACAUUAGGCGAAAGGCAUUUCCAAAGAGAAUUCUAUUUCUGAGUUUUCCAUGAACAUCUGCAUUUUUCAAGAUGAAAAUGAUUCUUCCUGGAUUGAUUUUAACAACAAGCAGUGCAAAGAGAGGGGAUGCGAGGCAGGCGAUGUGGCCACACACCAAUUUCCUCCCUUACACACGGUUCCUAUCACUUAUCAGAAUUUUAAUUCCACCUGCUAAGUAAUGCAGGUCGUAGAGCAGAGGUUAUGCAUGCAGCCACAGCUGAAAAUCUUCAGAUGCCUUUUCAUUAUACUGUGGGUGCACUGCAAUCUCUUCGGGCUCCUUGGGGGAUGGAGCAAAGAUUGCUGAGAUAAAGGUGAAUUACUUUAUUUAUUUAUAUUUUAACAGGGAAAGAGCCACCCGUUGAUUCGUCCAUCACAGUUCAAACUCAGCCCAUCCAUUAGCAUCACAUCUGUUAUGGUCCUUUCUACUACACGAUUUUAGAAAGACUUAACCUCAAGUAUUUAAUCAUAAUGCUUGGAAGGGAGAAAGAUCUUUCCUUAGCAGUGUUGGAGUACUCAUUGGCAGACAGCAGAGACAGGCUGGGUUAAUGUCGAUUUCUUUACUUUUUUAUAAAUGCCCCCUGUGUUACCAGCAUGGAUUUGAAGGUGAUGUAAUUUUCUUGCAAAUCCAUUAGUUUUAUAGGUUUUUGGCAAGCCCCACUGCUAUGUUGAUUAGAUAUAGUAACUGUGUCUAUUUAAACAGGGCUUUAAAUGCUUGGCUCAACCCUCUGCACUGCUGGAUAACAAGAUGUACAGUAGAUGCUCUCACUUCAGGUUGUGCUAAGCAGUGGUUUGACACAUAACUUAGUGUUUAGCCAUUUGUGAUAAGAAGCACUUUAAUUGCAGAGUUAAUUGCAGGUGCCUCCAAGAUAUACUUUUAAAUGCUCCCUACCAAAUAAGAGACAGCCUCUCCACCUCCUUAGGUGGCUUUACUCUAUCACUGUUUCCCAAAGUGUCCUCCACAGAACAGCAACAUCAGCAGCACCUGGGAGCUUGUUAGAAAUGCAAAUUCUUGGUUCCACUCCAGCUCUUCUGGAUCUGAGAGUCAGGAAGUCAGACUCUGCAAUCUACACUUGACGAAAAGUACUCCUGGGAGUCUUCCCAUGGACUUUAAGAACCACUAUAUUGGAGAAUCCCUGUCACAGGGUGCUGCUGUAUUUUGGUGCUGAACAAUUAAUUUGAAACAUAUUUGACUUAUUCUGAAUGAAUCAACUUUCUAUAUCCAAAUUAGCUAAUGCUGGAAAAUUACUACUUAAUAAUUACAAAAAGCAAUCACACAUCUCUUAAUUUUUUAAUAUGUAUCUUUACACUGAUAGAUUUGGCUUCAUUAUAAAUGUAUUAGCAUUGAGGUUUGGGGGUGAGGGAAAGUAGCUAUUCUUUAUUUUCCUUAUCUCUCUUGCCUCCUCUUUUUCAUUAUCUAAAGAAGUUAACAUGGCAUGCUCCAUUAAACAAGAUGCAGCUUUUAUUAUCUUUUAUCUCUUCCUGAACCUUUUCAAUAAAUGCUACUUGAUUACUCUUGCAUGUUGAGAGAGACAUUUAGAAUAAUCAAAACAUAAAGAAAGUGUGAUGCUUGGUUAAUCCAGGGCAGAACAACUUCCUCAACACCAAUAAAUGGGUUCAGACUAAAGCAAACAGGAAUACCACGGGAUGCCAGAGAUGCUGCUUUGCAGGAGGUACGAGGUGAGAAAUCUGUUCCAGGAAAAUAAACAAAUCAGUGGUAAAUACACUUCCUAGCCAUAGAAGUGUCCAUCUCCUGAAAGAACAGCCCUGGCCACUUAGAGAUCUGAGAGUCACUGCAGUUGCGUCUUACAAAUGAUCGCUUUAGUUGUUCGUUUGUACAUUCACUCAUUUACUUUUCCAUUCAUCAAACAUGGAGAGGUUUCCACGGGUCCUUUUGUUGUUUUGCGUUAGCUGAGCCAGAACUGUAUUUCCAGAAUCCCCUUGCCUGUGAAGUUCCAGGUGUGUUGCCUGCGAAGUCACAAGACAAAAGAUGCUUGGUUGGCAAUUGGGAUGGCAGCAGUAAAUCAGUAACAUUCUCCCUACGACACUGUGUCACUUGUCUCAGGCUUACCUUGUUGGAAUGGGACAUUGCUGGCCCCACGGGCCUUCCAUAUCCUAUUGAACUUCCUCCUUUGGUCUCCCAGAUUCCUGGACUGUAUGUGGGUUUACUUUUCUUACAAAAGAUGCCAGAUUUUGCUUCUGGUCCAACGGUCAUGAAAAGUAGAUUCUCCAUGGUUAAAGGUAGACCCCUGUGAAUUCCAUGCCGCACUUGCUGGUUCCAGCGGGUCCCCCUCCGUUCCCAGGUGAGUCCUUGCUCAGCUUUCUUUCCCCGCAAUUCCUGUCCACGUUUCCUGUGUAAGGUGGGCCUUCUCAUCCUGCACUUCAGACCCAGGUUUUAAGCAGCUCUUGCAAUUUUAUAAAGUCAAAUCCACACAGUGAAGUUUUUAUUAGUGUCAUGGUCCAUUGAGAUUGCUGUAACAAAAUGCCCAGGCUGAGUGAUUUGUAGGAGUUUCUCUUUCACAGUUCUGGAGGCUGGGAAUUCAAGAUCAAUGGACCAGCUGACUCAGUGAGGGCUGUCCUGCUUUCAAGACGGCACCUCCUUGCUACAUCCUCUGGAGUGAGGCCUGUGUCUUCACCCGACAAGGGCAGCAGAGUGGAAGAGCUGUGCUGGUCCUGUAGCUCUCUCACAAGGGGUAAGAUCCCAUCGGUGAGGACAGACGUCACCUGGUCACCUCAAAGUCACGGGAUCUUCACAUCAUUGCAUUGGAGAGACACAAACACUGUAACCUAGUGAACACCGUCACUCCUAGUGAACAUGCAUCUCUGAUCAAAACAUCAUGCAAAAUUUGGUACUAAACAGUGUUCCAAAGGAACUGAAUCCUGACAAUACUUUCUUCUAAUUGUUUCUAAGAUUUCUGGAAUUCAUUCUAUGUUUUGUUCAGAUUUACAGGCAUUUCUGUACUUCAGUGACUGCCUCUAAACUCUGUGACCAAGUACAUUCAGAAGGUAUGAGCUUAUUGACAAAGGAUGCAAUUUCAAAAGCCCCAAAUUCCUGUGACUUACAAGCCACAAGAUUUGUUUCUGACUCAUGAUCCCCAGAGACACCCUCAGAGGGGCUGCAGCUGCACCCCACCUGCCUUCUCCAGUGGAAGUCACCACUGUCCUGGCACAAGGCAGGUCUCAAGUGCUGGCUGGUGCAUAGGGACCUGCCAUUGGUCAUUUACAUUCAUAUUCUGUUUGCAAAUAUACUGGUUGACAAAACCUGGGUUUCACAAGGUUUCUCUUACAACUUAGGACCAUGAAACCAGCCACAGCAAUUUAUUAGAUGACCCUAAAGGGGUUGGUUAUGAUUUCUUGGAGGCCUGAAAAGCCAUCUCAAAGCCCAGAGCAAAAACAUCAUGAAACAAGAUUAUGGUGAAAGAAGAGAUAAAUAAACAAUAAUAGUCCCAGAUGAGGAAAAAAGCAAUUAUGGAAUGGAAGACAGACAUUAUGUAAGCAAAUAAUAAAAUAAAGUUUUUAUGAGACAAAAUAGAAAGUUCUGUUUUUGUUCCAUGCUGAAAUGAAGAGAAAAAGAUAAAUCUAGAAAGUUCCUGGUAAAAAUUUCAACUGUAGGAACUGAUUUAAUAACAGCAAAAACAACACCAAAGGAACCCUCUUCUGGAGAGAAGUAAGAAAAUUUUCCCAAAGGGGGGGAAAAGUCAGGUUGAUAUCAGGCUUUUCAUCUCUAAACACUGGAAGCUACAAAGAAAAAAAAAAGAACAAGGAGGAGGAGGAGAAAAAAGAAGGAGGAGAAGAAGAAAGAUCCAAAGAAGAAAGGAGGGGAGGGGAAGGGCUCUUGGACAAUAGCCCUAAACCAGCCAGGACCUCGCUCUCUGGUGACAAUGACAGGUACACAGCAAGAGGGGGAAGUGAGCAUCAGACAGGAGAUGUGGCCACACCUCAGGGGUUCACGCAGCAGGCCCAAGAGCGCUGGGAAGGGUCUGCUUCCAAAGUAGGCGAGGUGUGAAGGCCCAGCAGGAGCCAGACCUCCCAGUGCAGAGGAGGAUGGAAGAACCAGAAAGACUAAUGACAACUCCUUUUCCUGUUCCCCUGGAACUCCAAAGCACCGUGGUAUUGGCUUUAGAGACUUCACAGAAACGUCUCACGUGCUUCAGUGGUUAGGAGAGUUGAGAUUUCUGCAUCUUGAAUAUUGGAUGUCCUGGGCACGUGGCUUUUGUUCCUCAGAGCGCGAGUGUCCUCUGUUAUGUCCACUGAUUUGCACAGGUUGAACCAUCCUUGCGUCUGUGGUAUAAAUUCCACUUGAUCGUGGCGUAGUCUCUUGCUCAUCUCUUGAAUUCCAUCUGCCAGUAUUUUGUUGUGAACUUUUGCAUGUGUGCCAUCAGGAAUCCUUUAAGAAAUUUUGAAACAGAAAAGACAUAUAGUCCUUGGUCUCAGUCUGCUGUAGCCGUUUGGUGGAAGAAGUAAUAACUAUCUUAGUUUUAGUGAAAAGUGUGGUUGUAAGUAUGUUUGUGGUCAUAACAACAGUAACCCUCUUGAUUGGGAAAUCUCCAUAGAAUUCCCAAGUUAACAAUGGAAGAAAGAAACAAAUAGUAGCUUAAUUAGCAGGAUUUAAAAAAAAAGAUGGAGGGGGAGUGAGAAAAACAACAAAGUACAAUAUAGAAAAUUAUAAAAGGAAAUUUCAUAAGAACAUCAUUGUAACAGACUGACAUGAAUGUAUAACUUUCGUCUUUUUUUCAGAAGAAAAUGAAUAGUCUUAAAAGCUUUUGAUGGCACAUGCCUGUCAUCCCAGCAACUCAGGAGGCUGAGGCAGGAGGAUCACCAAGUUCAAGGCCAGCCUCAGCAACUUAGUAAGGCUUUGUCUCAAAAUUGAAAGUAAAAAGAGCACACACUAUCUGAACAAUUCAGUGCACAGAGAGGAUUAAGCACUGCCAGAGGAGAGAUCACAGAGGUGAGCCAUCUAGGGGGGAAAAUGGUUCAAGAACAAUAGUUUCAGCCAAACAUUAAACCUUCUUUAAAUGUAGAUCAAGAAACUCAGUACUUUGUUUGAUUUAUGAAAGCCUAUGGAAAACAUUAGCAUCCUCUAGGUCCAUUAUUAAAUCAACAUUAUUUCGAUACCAACACUUGAUAAAGAUACCUGUAAAAAAGAAAACUGUAAACAAAUCUCAAUAAUAAGGCAAAAAUUCUAAAUGACAUAAUAGCAAGAACCAUCAGUCAUGUAACAAGAGAACAAUGCACUGAGUCCUCCGGGUUUCUUUCAAGAGUAGAAGGGUAGUUUAUAGGGUUAUAAGGCCAAAGGGGUAAAGGAUUUGAACAUUAUCAAGAUGCUCAAAAGUAUUUGGCAAAAUUCUGCAGUCAGUUCUAGUAAGAAUUCUAAAUAAUUUGAAAAUAAAAGUAGAAUACAUAAAUGGCAAAUGCUAUAUAUAAAAAUAAUAGCAAAUAUUAUCAUAAAUUACAAAAAUCGAAAAUAUUUCAUUAAAAAUUAGGGACUAGGUAAAGGUUUCCACCAACACUAUCAUUACUAUUUUUUUUAACAUUUAAACAAAAGCAAAAGAUAAGAAAAUAAAAUAACAUAAGCAUUUGACAAAUAUAGUUAUAUUUGUUGAGGAUAUAACUGAAGAUGGAAAUACCUUAAGAGAUACUUGUUAACAAGCCUAAUAAUUAAUGUGAUUACCUGGAUAGUUUAAUCAGUGGCUUUUUAUCCAAUCUGGAAAUGACAAUAACUGUACAAAAAACAAACAGCGAGGCAUGGUGCUACAUGCCUGUAAUCCCAGCAGCUCAAGAGGCUGAGGCAGGAAGAUCACAAGUUUAAGGCCAGACUCAGGAACUUAGUGAAGCCCUAAGUAACUUAGUGAAACCCUGUCUCAAAGUAAAAAGUAAAAAGGACUGGAGAUUGGAGCUCACUAGUAGAGCAUCUCUUGGUUAAAUGCCCAGGACCAAAUAAAUAAAUAAAUAAAAGAUAAAACAAAAAUGCUGAGUAAUUAUAUUUACAAACAUGCUAUUUUUUAGAGAGAGAAAAUGAUACGUCUUACUAAAUGAUUUAAUACUCAACACAUCACAAUUUCCUGGAUGACACGAUUUUAUGUUAUAAGACAAUGAAUAUGCAUACACAUAGGAAUGUAUUCCAAAUACCGUCCCCAACUUUUAGAUGGAGCUGACUGUUGGUUUAUGAAAAGAAAUGGGUGAGAGGAAACUACCCUCAACCUGUGUUAGGUGAACCAUGUUGUUCCCUUAAUGAAAUGACUAUCAUGCUGGUGUCAGAAUAAGCACAUAGAGUAAAUAGGAAUAGAAUGAACAUUUGAGUUAGUAGGCCUUUUAACACAUGACAAGGAAGUAGUUAAUUCAAUGAAAAACAGAUGGAUUUUUAAGCAAAUAUGAUGUGUAAAAAUGGUGGGCUCUCUGGGACAGGAUAUACAAAGCCUUCGGUGGAAAGCAAGUGAGCAAACACCUAUAAAAACUCUACUAAAUAGUAAGAAGACUCUGUAUAUAUAGCUGUUAGUGGUCAGUGGCCAUAAUAAUUGCUUCUGGAAAACUGGGAGUUACUACCAAUAAGUCUAGUCUACUGUAUAUAAAUAAGACGGUGGAAAUAUAGUCAACAGGCAAUGACCAGUCCAUGAAACUUUUUAAUCUGAUGACAUACAAAGAGUUAAUAAAAAAUGAGGUCUCACAAAUAGGAAAACAAAAAGUUUAAUAUAAAUUGGCUAAAAAUACAGCUCAGGAAUUCACAGAUAACUGAAACCUCAUCUGUACAUGCACAAAUCCUGCCAUUUGCAAGAACAUGGAUGGAACUAGAAAUCAUUACGUUAAGUGAAAUAAACCAGGCACAGAAAGUCAAAUGCUCCACAGUCUCACUCAUCUGCAGAAUUUAAAACAGGUGGAUUGAGAUUAUAAAGGUGGUCACCAGAGGCUGGGGAGAGAAGGAAGUGGGGAUGGGGGAAGGCUGACCAGUCAGCAGCAAGACCUGGGGUGCUACUGCACAGCAGCGUGGACUGUUGAUAGCCAUGAUGUCCUGUCAUUUCGUAGAGCUAUAAGGAAGCAUCUUGGAAGCCUUCAUCAUAAAGAAAGCUAGGAGGAAAUCACCUUUCCAUAUUGGGGCUGUGGGCAGAAGAGCAGGCUUAUCCAUAGAGAUGACAUAUGUGAACCAUGCGGUCUUUUUAAAAGGCAGCUGGCAAUAUUAUAAUUAAAAUGCAAAUAUCCUUUUAAUCCAUCUCAAAGUGCCAUGGACACACUGUGAAAAGGCACUAAGUACCAGGGCAGCAUUAGUGUAGUGGCCACCACUAGAAGCCUGUAGUGCCCAUACAUGGAAGAAUGUCACCUAGGCAAGGUCGUGUCUAUCAUACUUUUGUGUCUAUGUGAUGUUCUCAUAUUCUGGAAGACUUUUUAUCAAACAAUAGAAAUAUAUUAAUUCUUACAAGAGUGACUAUCUACUGGACUCCAAAGUUUACCUCCAAACUCAAUUUUUCUCCUCUGAUCAAAAAAGGAGCAAAAUUGAAAACCAUCAAUCAAAAGUUAGCCAAAGCAGCAAGAGCAAUGACAGCAGCCACAAUGACAAACGAUGGAAAGUUCUCGGGUUUGAGAUAAACUGAUAAUUAAAAUUACAAACACCUGCAAUUGGAAACACUAUAAGUGUUUAACCUGUUCUCACCUUCCUGCCUUCUAUUCUUUACAACCAUUGUUCACACUGUAAUAAUUUCGUACUAUAACCAGAAUGUUAUUAUGACAUGAAUGUGCGUUCAUAUUGCAGUAAAAUAUGCAUGUGGGGAUGUAGUUAAAAGUCAGCCAAGAAAAGAUAGUUAAAAAAAAACCACCACCUCAAUAGUGGGUUAAAUACAAAGCUAAUAAAAGUGAUGCAGUGGUUGUAAAUGAGAAAGCAUGAAGUCUCACCCACUCUCACCUCUCCACCCAAUGUUGCGAGAGAGUCCUGUGUGUGAUGCUCUUGAGUCAAGGCUCACAUUUUACAACAUUUGUGUUCCUUGAUGAACCACCACACCCCAGCAGUUGUCCUCAGGUCUAUAUUUCGAUGAACUUGACCUUUCACACUAGUUAUUUCAGCACAGCUUCUCAAUGCAUCUCUUAGUUGGUUAAAUUGCAACCCUGAGAAUUCUUGCUUGACCUUUAUUGUACAAGGGCUCCCAACUGCUGUCUUCCCUGAGAUCUUUUUUCUGUGUCUGACAAGGUCUCUCCUGCCUUUGCAGCCAGCCGGCUGUGCAGGAGAACAUCUUGGUUGUCACUCUGUUUCUCCAAGGAGUUGGUGUCUAUUGAUUGCUUCCCUCUCUUUUAUCAUUUCCUGUUCCUUUGGAGAAGGAGUAUUGAUUCUCCCUUUUAAAGCCUAGUGUUUUAUGUUGGGAUCACCAAGGAAAUAUUUCUUUGCCUUUAAGUGUGUAGCUGCUCCAAGGACAUGACUUGGCAUUAAUCUCUCUGUCACAAUCUGUUCCUAGCAUAUAGUCUAAUAGUACAAUUUUCAGAUUCAGGUAUGACUUAUUUUUGAAAGUUUUAUUAAUUAUGUUAGGGAAGAGAAUUCAGUUCUAUCUCUCAUCUUUUUUGAAGAAUUGUAUGUGUGCUAGAUAACUUUUAUAGCUACCAUUUUUCACUUAAAAGUCAUUUCACUCAUGAUGUCUUUUAUAUUGAUGUUGUUUUCUGUCAUUUUUUAAAAAUUUCUGCUGCUUGCAAUAUGAUUUUUAUUUCUCUUUCUUUCAUUGUUCUUUUAUUAUUUAUUAUAGAAACAUGUUUUUUUUCCAAAAUAUUUAAUGAGAAGUACCUAUUUGUCAUAUUAAAUUCAUUUGAUCUUCUAUGCAAAGAUUCAAAUUAAUUAGAGCAUUUGGAAGCAGUAAGUCCCUUGAGUGUCUGUCAUACGAUUUGGGGGAGAGUCGAGUCGUACAGAUAUCAGCUGUAGAAGUAAGAGUCCUAGAGAAUAAUGUGGAGGUGAAUGCAUCUGUUUGGAAACGGGCCAUGUGUACAGGUGGCAUAAGACAGGUGAUUCUUGACAGCAUCAGGAUUAUUGUCUUAUUCUUGAUUACACCUUCAGGGUCACAUUGAAAUCUUCCACACAUUACACUUUUGCUCAACAUUGCUUGACUAAUCAAUGAGAAAAAUAUCAAGAGCAGAAAUCAGGGACAGGUUAUUCUAGUCCAGACGUUAGUGCCAGGUCACAGGACAUCCAGGUCUUUCUUUGCAUGUUCUCUCUUCCAGUCUCUUGGCUACCGAGAGUAUGGUCUCUUCAUUUCCCUUCCCUUUCUUCGCUUCCUUGCUUCUUUUUGGUCCUGGGGAUUGAGCCCAUGAACUACAUACCAAGCUCUUUUAUUCUUUUAGACAGGACCUCACUAAGUUGCUGAGGCUGACCUCAAACGUGCAUCCCUCCUGCCUCAACCUCCCUAGUCACUAGGAUUAUAUUCCUGUACUACCAUGCCUCACACUUUCUAAUGUUAAUAAAAUGCAAGGAAUAAAAUGCCGUCAAGAUUCAACACAAUGACUCUUCUUUUCAUCUUAAUGGAGAAAAAAAAAGAAACUUCAAUAUCCAGUAACAUAUUAGGUUCCAAAGAAUGAAGCUUCUACUGAAAGUAGCUAAAAAGGCUGGAAAACCCCAUAAUGCAUCAGCUUGUAAGUGUGAAUGAAAUGCAAGGGAUUGAGAAACUCUCAGGUCAGACAGGACAUGACAGUGGGAAACUGAAGUCAAACAGAGCCAUGACGUUGGUUUUAAAGAGCAUAAUUUGUGAAGCUGGAUGGACUUGUUCAUCUGUAUCAGAUCUUUGUAAUUCUUGGAGUAGGUGAGAGGAGUCCAGUGCCUACUAAGAGGACCUUCUUAUCUUAUCUGGAAUGCUAAACUAGCUGCAGAGGGACUGCAAGCAAAAUGUGCCUAUUUUAACCUUGCUGCUGACCUGGGAACUGGGAUGACCCCUCUGAAUUUGUAUCCAUAAGCAGACCCUCAUUCAGGUUUGCAGAAUGGCUUUAUAGCUCUGUAGUCUGAAAAUAUCAAACCCAUGAUUUAGAGUAAAGUAAUUCUGGAAUUUUAUUUAUACAGGGGUCUGAGAAGAAACAAGUACAAAACCUCUCUGUAGGAUUUCUAGUCUUCCAGACUUCAAAUAAAUCAUAUAAAAAUGUUUAUAAUUAAAACUCACUCAGUGAGCACGUUACUACAUUCAGAAGGAAAGAAGAUAUCAGACACAAUGAGGGAGAGCCAGCAGAACAACAGACUGCAAAGACUGAUCUGCAAAUGCUUCUGUUACUAAAAUUAUCCAACACCUAAUACUAAACAAUUGCAUUUUGUAUAUCUAAAAACAUACAGUUUGAAUAUUUUGAAAAGAAGAAGAGUCUAUCAAGAUGGGGCAGGCAGAUUUGAAAGAGAAUCAAAUAGUGCUGCCAGAGAUGAAGUAAAAUCAGAGUAAUUUUUAAAUAGCAAGUGUAGUGUCAGGCAAGAUAAAGCCGAAAGAAAAAUUAGUGCUCCAAAAUAUGUACGUAAGGAAAUUACCUCCAAUUUAAUAGAUGGAUAGAUGGAUGGAUGGAUGGAUGGAUGGAUGGAUAGAUAGAUAAUUACCAGAAGUCAGGGAGAGAGAAAUUGACAAAAUGGCAUUAAAGAGAUUCUGUGCUAUAAAAUACAUCCAGCAAGGUUAAGAAGAUUAUUAAAAUAUAAAUAAUGUUCUCUGAUCACACAGAAAUUAAUAGAGAGAUCAAUUUAAAAUAUAGUAAAAUUCUAUGUACUUAGAAAUUAGUAAAUAUUCUCCCCCAAAGAAUUCAUGAGGCAAAAAUAAAAGAUAAUAGUAAUUAGGAAUUUAUAAUUAUACAUUAUAAAUAAAUUUAUACAUUAUAUAUAAAUUUAUAAUUAAAAUUAUAAAUUUUGGAAAUAGAAGUAAAUUAGUACUUAAAUAAAAAUUUAUAACCUUAAAUAAUUUUAGAAGAAGAGAAAUAUUAGAAAUAAAUAGCUAUUCAUCGUACUUCAAAAUGAGAUAAGAGUAAAAGAAACAAAAAGUUGUGCUUUUAAAAAGACUAAUAAAAUGAAUAUACCAUUAGUGAGAUUAAGAAACACUAAAUUCAUUAACAAAAAGGAAUUAACAUUAGAAAAUAAGGAAUGAAAUACAAAGCAUUACUGUAGGUAUUCCAGACUUCUAAAAUGAUAACUGUGUGUUAAUCAGCUUCACUCCAUUGUGACAAAACACUGAGAUAAAACUGCCUGAGAAAAGGGUUACUUUCAUGUAUUAGCCUUAGGGAGACAUUCAAAAUUCAAACCACAACACUGUGAUUAAAAACAAAACAAAAACAUUUCUUUGAAAUUAAAUUUGAAUAUUUAUAGGAAAGAAAACUUCCUAAGAAUUAUAACUUACCCAAAGAGUCAGAUUAAUUAUUUUAGAAACCUAAAUUGCUUUAUGUCUGAUAUUCUGAGACGUUAUUAUAAUGUCUUCUUACAAAGUAAACCUCUCUGUGCUCAGAGAGGUUGUUCUGUGAGAAUAUUCAAAACAAGGGGAAAUAAUUCUAAUAUUACCUAAACUUUCCAAAAUAUUGAAAAAAAAUAAAGGACCUUUCCAAGUGAAUAUUACCCAAACUUUCCAAAACACUGCAGAAAGAAAGGACCUUUCUAAGUUAAUUUCAUCAGUUAGUAUAACCUUGGUUAUAAAAUUCCACCAAAGACUGUAGAUAAAAGUGAAAUUUCCAAUUUACUGUCACAGAGACUCAAGUAUCAUAAACAAAUCUGUGCUGUUUGAAUAAAUAGGUACAUAAGCAUAACACUUGAUGAAAGGGGAAUUUAACUCCAUGAAUUUGAAGUUGGGUUAACAUUUAAAAAUAUGAGUAAUCAUUUCAAAAAGGGAAAGAGAAUAUCAUGUGAUCAUUUUUUGGAAGUAGAUACAGUGCUUAGUAAAAUUCAAUCUCUAUUCAUGUAAAUAUAGGCAAAUUGGGAAUAGAAUAGAAUUUACUAAAUCUGACAAAUGGUAUCUUUCAGAUACAGCCGAUAUCGUAUGGUAGGCAGCCAUUAUAUGGAAGGUGUUGUGCUGUGGUUUGGAAUGUGCUAUGGGCUUCCCAUUGGUAACUUCUGGGCUUAUCUGGGGCUUGGAGGUUUCCCAAGCUGGAGUACUGAGUGUCUGGGGAACUGUGAAGGGGUCCUUCCACCAGGGUAGCCUGGUGUCUCUGGGUAGGCAAGGAUCAGCUUAACUCAAGGGGACAAAAGUCCUCAGGCUCCUUCCCAUUGGCUGCUCCUUUAGGUUCUACCCACUGCACUAGUGUCUCUGGGUGAGGAAGGAGGGUUGGGCUCCCAAGGACAAAGAAGCCUCGCUGGACUAGGCUGCUUCCUAUGGUCUCUCUUGACAGGUCUACUAUAUUACGUUGGUAAGUCUCUCUCUCUCUUUUUUAUUGAUUUUAUUUUUUUUAAAUACAUGACAGUGGAAUGCAUUACAAUUCUUAUUACACAUAUAGAGCACAAUUUUUUAUAUCUUUGUAUAUAAAGCAUGUUCACGCCAAUUCAUGUCUUGAUACAUGUACUUUGGGGUUUUUUUUUUUUUGCAUUUCAAUUCUUAUUACACAUAUAUACCACAUUUUUCAUAUCUUUGUUUGUAUAUAAUGUAUGUUGAUUGUUUCUUUUGCUGAGAAAAAAAAAACUUUUUAGUUUGAUUCCAUCCCAUUUAUUGAUUCUUGGUUUUAAUUCUUGCGCUAUAGGAGUCUUAUUAAGAAAAUUAGGGCCUAAUCCCACACGAUGAAGAUUAGGGCCUACUUUCUCUUCUAUCAGACGCAGAGUCUCCGGUUUAAUUCCUAGGUCUUUGAUCCAUUUUGAGUUAAGUUUUGCCAAAAACAUGCACUGGAGAAAAGAUAGCAUCUUCAACAAAUGGUGCUAGGAAAACUGGAAAUCCAUAUGCAACAAAAUGAAAUUAAACCCCUAUCUCUAUAUUACGUUGGAAUCUCUUGGUGAGAAAGCGGAGUCUCCGUCCUUUUGGAGAGAAGUGCUUGCUGGGCUGCUUAUAUCUGGUGGGACCCUCCACUGGUCUCUCUUAUUGGUGCUGCCUGCUGUGCUGAUGGGGGCAGAGGGAACCCAUUUAGCCUGGAGCAUUCUGCUGAAUCAGGCACUGGAAAUGUUGGGUCUGGGCGGUUCCUCUGCUGGGUGGUGUUCUGUUCUUCUUACAGCCUCUCCUUGGUCUCCUUUGGAUGACUCUUGUGCCACGUCCAGGGUUUAUCGUCAUGCUUAGGGGGAAGGAGGAAGGAGGAAUGAUCAUAAUCUCUUCUCCAGACUGGCAGUGUCCUUAUUAGUUUUUAACCUGUGCACAUAUGGUGUGGAUCCCACUCUGUUGCUUACAGAUUUUUGUAAUAAUGUGAAAUUUAUAAAACAGAAUGCUUAGUAGGUUAAAUUUUUUUUUUUGAUUGCCUGCUGUCCCCUUAAACUUACUCCUGAGUCCUAUAGGAAAUACAAAACGUGUUUGUACAUGAAUAAAAAUAUUUUUCCUAACUAUAAAGAGGAGAUCCAAAAAGCAUUGUCAGUAAUCUGUUAUCAUUCACUAUCUAAGCCAUCAGUCCAUACAAAGUUUAUAUGUGGUAAAUUUAUUUAUUAUACUGUAUAAAAUACAUUUAUUUAUUUUAUAUCCUGGAUAUUUUAAUUUAUUUGGAAAUAUUAUUUGAUGUUUAUCUGAAAACUACACAAUAAAUUGAAAUGUAAUUAAUAAUUUCUUUCUGUUGAACACAUGAUACAUAUCUGUUGUUUUAAAUGUAUUGUCAAGGUUGCGGCCAUAACAAAUCUACAAAGAUAGCAUUAUUAUCCACAAAUAUAAAUGUGAAAACUAUUUAUUCUUCUCUAGCACACUUGACUAUGACCACAGCUGCACAAAAUGCUCAUAUGUCCUUCCAAAGGUCAUAUUCUUCACACUGUACCACUUUCUUUGAAAAAAAAAUGGUGAUAUCAAACUAUGCUGUAUAAAAGAAAAAAAGUUAAUGAACUGUUCUAAUUUUCUCCCAUUAUUGUAUUAUUUCAUAAAUCCAAAACAAUAAUUUAUAUGUUCUUGUUGAAACAAAUAAAUGAAAUCAAAUGCCCCCGAAAUUAAAAAUACAUAUACAUAUUGAAAUGAAAAAUACUGUAAAAAACAGGAUCCAAGACACCUUUGUGUCUGUUUUUUGCUUGAUUCCUUUUUGAGAUUCUAUUAGAAUUGUGAAUACAUGGUCAAAAUUGAAAACAGAUAACAGAUUGAGGGAAAUACAUAUCCCAUUAAAUUUAAAGCAUUAUUUUCUUCCUUCACCCAAUCUCAAAAAGUAUGUGGACAGUAAGAAUGGCUUCCUUCAUUUACAUUGGAUUCUAUUACUCUCAGGUUGAUACAAAUAUUUGGGGGGAAGUAAGAUUAAUUGCAUUUUAUAAGAAUAACUGAAUUCUCAAUAUAUUCACAGAAUUGACUUGUGGUUUUAAUCUGAAAUAUUUUUUCUAGUGUUAAGAUUGUUAAGUACCUCCUAAGAAGCAAUUUCAUUCUGAGGUGGGACACUGAAGACAAUUUGGUUUUUUAUAUUUUUUUAAUUCCCAGUGAAUGUUGUACUUGUGGAAAAAGAGAGUACACCCCAUUUGGUCAUCUCAAAAAUCGUGCUCCAUUUAACGUCUGAGCUUGGAUUUGUUCCUGAGUUUCCACACACAUUUGAGUGGAACAUGCACACCUUUAAAUGAAACUGGAUGCACAUUUCACUUGGAGAACAAAGGUUAAAAACCAACCAACAUUCUUUAAUAUCCAUAAAUGUCAUCAUUCAGAACCCCUUGUGAAAUUUUUUAAAUAAGAAACAUACUUGGUAUCUUUUUUUAAUCAUAUUCUUCCUUUUAUAAAUGGGAGUAACUUCUUCCAACAUUAAUAUCAAGUACAUGAGCCUUGCCAGGAAUCUUGUGUUUCUCUGGGUUGAAAGCAUCCAGUCAGAUCUCAUAUAGCAUUCACCUUUCUUCUGAAAACGCUUGGAUCACAGCCCUGCCCUACUAAAUAUUUCCUUAACCUUUUUAAGGUCGAGGAUUUUUAUUUUCUCCUUUCUUCUUAAUAUAGCAUUAAACUCCAAGUCCCACAGCGUAUGCUGCGUGCUGCUUCUCCUCCGAGGCUUAACUGCAGAAGGGAGCCUUAUUGGUGGGCAUAAACCAAGCUGCUUCAAGGGGAGGACACAAUUAGCUGCUGAUUGCUGAACUGAAAUAUGGAGCCCAGUGUUACCAUUGAUUUGAACGCGAAGCCAGAAGCAAAGACACAGAAGUGCCCUCGGAGGCUGGCACCUACAACCUCCCUCAGGAAGAAACCAAAACCAAAGGAAGCAGAGGACUGGCUGACUCCCAGCUCUCCCUGUUUAAGCUUCUUUAGCGAUUCCUAAAGCAGUCGCUGACUCGGAAUUGCCUCUGUCUCUGCUGACACGAUCCACUUCUGCGUUAACGCUCUCCUACUUCUAAGCAGCAUGGAGAGAGGUUUGGAGAUGCAGGGGCAGUGCUGUUAAACAACGGUAACCUAGUCUUCAGCUGCCCUAUGACCCAUCAGUCCCAUUCCCCCUGAGGAGCCCUAGUGUGAGCCUAGCACGUUUUGCUUGUCUCCCACGUGGCCACUGAAGAUCUAAUUCUUCACUGCUGUAAAUACAUUCUUACAUACAGCCUGUUGCUGGGCAUGAAUACACAGUUUCUCUGGCUCAUCCUGAAAACCAGUUGGGUGUGAUUGACAUUUUUGGUUUACAGUAAAUCUGACAUUCUCUACGUACACCAUUUCACUUUAGCACAACAGAUUCUUAUUACACAUCUAAUGUGUGCCAGGUCCCUGGUGUCAGAUUCCUCUCUGAUCCCAUCCAGUCUCAAGCAGCACAUUCUAAGAGCCAGAGUUUGGGCUGAUAAAAUAACCCCAACUCUACUCCUAUUGUCUAUAGCCUUCCUGUUCUCCUCUUGUAGCUAACAAGUCUCCAAAACAGCGUCUCCAUCCACAUAUCGACAGCUUCACAAAUACAGCAUUAUGUUUCUUUCAGUCACAAAUGAUGCCUCCCCUCACAUACCAAUUUUUGGUUUCGGUUUUAUACACAUUAGUUUGGGAAGCUAAAAGCAAUAUAAAAUAAUUUUUGGAUCUUUUAUUGGUCACGAUAAAAAUUGAUAAAAAUUGAGCAUUUCUGGUGAAGAUUAUGGAUCCAUAACAGCUAAAACAGGACACCGUGUUCAAACCUGGUAUUUGGUUUCCACUGAAUGAUGUGAAGAUAUGUAAUACUCUCUCUGUGAGCUUUCUUUUCAACUAUUUCAUGUCUUACAGUUAAAAAAGCUACAUAGUAAAGAUGCCUGCUAUGAUACUGUAAAUUUUAUGUAGUAGGCACAUCUCAACAAUAUCCUGCAGGUUUUUCCUCAUAAAACAAAUGCUGUGGACAUGUUUAUGUAUGUUCUAAUUAAAAGCUGUUAUUGAUGGGUUAUAACUUGCUUUAAAAGUGUCUGUGGCAUAAAUUUCAGAAGUUUGGUUUUAUUUUAAUCCAGUGACCUGUUUUCCAGGUUCUUUCUGGGUAAUUGAAGGGCUGUUGAUUCCAUUCUCUCCAGCACAGUGAUAUUUUGACUAUGGAAGUUUUAAGUGAAAUGGAUCAUUUGUUGGAUUGGAGCUAUUGUUUUCAUAACUUACGUAUCUAGUGUUUAAUCUUCAACUGCUUGUGGAGAUAUUAGAAAACAUGGGUUUUUCUCUCUUAUUUUUUUAUCUAGAGCUUAAGUCGGCGCCUUACACACACAGUUAGUACCCUGUAAAUGACUGUUGGAUUCCUGAGUGAUGAUUACAGCUAUUAUACACACCAAACCUUUUCUAUCUUGCCAUUUUCCUUCCUGGUUCUCCUUAGUUUACCAUAAAUGGUGUAUUUCUUCUCUGUUUGAAAAUGCAAUGGUGCUAACCCAGAUGGUAGGGCUCAUGCAGAUAAAUCCAAAACCUGCUCAUUCCUUAAAUCCAUUUUUAAUUAAUGACAGUGAACAUUUAAUUUUAAGCGAAGCCUCAGCAAAGCUCAGACACCCCUCCUUACUCAGAAACUCCAAUGAUAGUAGGUAGGACCGCUGCAACUCCUCCAUCUGGACAUUAGCGCAUUCCUCAGAGGUGUUACUCACAUCCACAAAAUCAUUAUGUUGCACAGUCUUGGAUGUCACCUGCAUUAGCAUUGAUGGUCGCUCAUUUUCACACACUUGUUCCUCUCAUGAGAUGCUUUGGUUCACAGGAAGUCUUGCCUGUCACACAGGGCCCAUUACUCAUGCCACAGGGUUUUUCCAAGUGACUUCAUCUGAAGACUGAAAAAGCCAGGAUGCCAUGGCUUUUAGCCACUCCCUGAAUCCCAUAUGAAGUGGCUCACCCGCCCGUCCACCCCUAGGCAGUAAGACUCCAGGAGCUGGUCACUUCAACGAGGAUCUCACUCUCUUGUUGAAACAGGUGUCAUGUCAAUUUUCUCUCCCCAUCUGCAGACUCUGGCAACCAGUGAUCUACAUUCUGCCCCUAUCAUUUUGCUGUCACCAGAAUAUCAAAUAAAUGAAAUAAUCCAGUAUUUAGUUUUGAGAGUUGGCUACUUUCAUAAGCCAAAUGCAUUUGAAAUUCAGUGAUUUCAGGACCAUCUACAUUCCAGCCCAUCUGUGUCAGGUUUCGGCUCUCCUUCUCUGACCUCUCCAUCACCAGUAAUAACUCAGUCUCCAUGAAGUGUUAGAUGGCACUGCUGGAUCAUUUGUAUUACAGGUAGUCUUGGGUGACCACACAGGUGGCCAGAGCAUGGUCAGCAAGCAGUGAGUUAAUUUUUAAGGCACUUUAAUAAGUUGGAUAUUAGCAAUGACUUAAGAAUUCAAACAACAUAGACAAGGGGAAAAUGGGAGUUCAUAACCCACUUGAAUCAAAUGUAUGAAAUAUGAUAUGUCAAGAGCUAUGUAAUGUUUUGAACAACUAAUAAAAAAGAAAGAAUUCAAACAACAGACAGGGUAGUCAAACAACAGACAGGGUAGCUACUGGUGGUGGUAAGUUUUUGCCCUUUUAUUUCCCCACAGUCCUCUUCUUCUGUUUUGUGUGCAUGUCCCUAUUUAACUGUGAGGAAAACACGUGUCACUCUGGUAGAAACUAGUAAUUCUAGAGUCACCAGAAAGACUGUAAUUCGAAUUUUCAAAUUCUAUGCUUCACCAAGACCUUUAUUCCCUCCCCCCAUUUCAUACUCGUGGAAAUUAUGAAGGGGAACUGCUUUCAACUCAUUCAUCAUCUGUUGCUAUGAGGUCAGGAGAAGUCUGGUUUUAAAGAUUAUAGAAUUUCAGUUGGAAGAAAUUCAAUUAAAAAUCAUGCUCUAUCUGCAACGGAUUUGCCAGGAGAAGAGUGCUCACCUCUUUCCUGUGAAAAGGUCUUGCUCUUGCCCUAUUUGACAAAACUAAAUUUUACUCUGAUGUCAGUUUUUAGAUGUAUAAAUAAGAUAUAAUGAAAUCCAUCCUUUAUUUUGGAUGCACAUUUCUGUGAGUUUUGACAAAUACAUACAGUCAGGCCCCCACCCCUCUUAUUUUGAAAAUAAGAUCAGGUCAUUUCCACCCUACCAAAAAGUCCCCUUGCAGACAUUUGUGAUCAAUUUUCUCUCCCCAUCUGCAGACUCUGGCAACCAGUGAUCUACAUUCUGCCCCUAUCAUUUUGCUGUCACCAGAAUAUCAAAUAAAUGAAAUAAUCCAGUAUUUAGUUUUGAGAGUUGGCUACUUUCAUAAGCCAAAUGCAUUUGAAAUUCAGUCAUCUUUAACCUGGCCUGUGACACCUGUUUCAACAAGAGAGUGAGAUCCUCGUUGAAGUGACCAGCUCCUGGAGUCCUACUGCCUAGGGGUGGACGGCCGGGUGAGCCAGUCCAUAUGGGAUUCAGGGAGAGGUUAACAAGGAAGAGUGAGAGGACAGGUGGACACGAUGGAGUGAGUGUGCCAGGAAGUAUCCUUACUCAGACACCCUGUGCCCUGGUGUCAAGGUUGAGCAGCUACCAUGCUCAACCACAGCAGGUGCCCAUUUCGGCCAGAGGAUCAGGACACAGGUUCCUAACUCUCAUUUCUGCAGAAAUGACUCCACUAGGAUUAAACCUGUGACAUACUCGGAUUAUAAGAUCACUGUUUCUCACAGUGUGAUUUCAGGACCAUCUACACCCCAGGCCACCGGGAGGUCAUGUAAUAUGCAGGUUCUGGACCCCCUUUGGGCGUGCUGAACCAGAAUGAAUGGGAAGAGAGCAAGUAAGUGUGUGGACUUGUGAUGAGCUUUCCAGGAGAGAGUUACAACACUCCAUGUUUUAGGUAUGACAGAUAUUGAUCUCCAAAGGACUUGGGUGGAGGGGAUAGAGGAAGAAAGGCAGCUGUGAGUUUGUAUCUAGCUCCUGCCUCUGAAGCUGAAGCUCAUGUCAUUGUGGAGGUAAAUUAAAUUAGCAGUGUCUCUGCAAAGGCAGAGAAUGGGAAGGGAGAACUCGUAUUGUGAACUAAUAUGUUAAUUGGUAAUAUAUUAUAAAGUUUAUACUAGAGAGAUAGAUGUAGAUAUAGAUAGAAAAAUAGUUGGCUAUAGGCAGAUGAUCAAACCCAGUGCCUCACACAUACUGUAGGCAGAGUAAUUUGUAUCAAUAUUAGAUUUAGUAAUUGUGGAAAUGAUAUAAUCAUCAGAACAAGAUUUUAAGUUUUCACUUAAAAUUUUGGAUUUUGUUUUGAAUAAAAUGCUUUAUUUCAUCAUUUGAUGUGGUAGCAGCAUCUUUAAAGAUAUGUAGUACAUUUACUAAGUUUUAUGUUAUAUGUAACAUUAAAAGCACUUGAGGAACUACAAUCUAAUAAUAAUAAUCUAGUACAUUAACUUUUUUUUUGGUACUGGAGAUUGAACCCAGGGACACUACCACGGAGCUACAUUCCCAGCCCAUUUUAUUUUUUAUACUGAGUCAGGGUCUCACUAAGUUGCUGAGGUUGGCCUUGAACUUGGGAUUCUGCUGUCUCAACCUAUGGGGUGUCUAGGAUCACAGGUGUGUGCCAACACUCCUGGCUCCUGAUCCAUUAAUUCUUUUUUUUUUAAAUUGUAAAUGGACAGAAUUACUUUAUGUAUGUAUAUAUUUUUAUGUGGUGCUGAGGAUCAAACCCAGUGCCUCACACAUGCUAGGCAAGUGCUCUGCCACUGAGCCACAACCGCAGCCCUGUGAUACAUCAAUUCUUAAUCAACACUCCUAAAGGUUAUUUCUUUGCAUUUCUCUCUUUGUCUGUUAAACAAUGCUUAUGUAUCAUAAAUUUGUUUCUGAUUUUUUAAUUCUACAUAUUUAAAGUGACUCUACAAUGACAGCUUAGUCUGUAAAUAUGAAUAAAAACGUGGGUAGAACUAGGCUGGGUGGAAUGAAAGAGCAAGCUAUUUUCAAUUUGAGUGCAAGGGCUAACUUGAAAAUACAAAUUGCAGGUCAUCAUUGUUGAAACAGCUAAAAGGAGCCGCAGACCAUUUUCUUUAGCCGCCAAAGCCAGAGCAAGUGGGAAGAAGACCUUUGCCCUCGGGACUGUUUUGUUUCUGUGUCCCACCCCAAACUCACCCCAAAUGAGAAACAGACCUCGGGGCUGUACCAGCAUUAUUUUAAGCCACGUGAAUGCACACAAGUGACUCAAGUGACUUUGGUUUGGUUUUGUUUUUGUGGCAGCGUAAAUUAACAAGGUGUCAAAUGAACAUCGUGGAGAAUCCACAGGCUCAGCUGGUCCUGGGGACGCCGCUGGCCUGCCUCCGAGGGCCAUCUGGUAAGAGCAUUUCCACGCUCCGCGGUCACCCGGCCUUGGUCUCCGGCGGCCCCCUACCCACUGGUCAUAUUGGCGACCUCUGCUUCCUCCCGAGUGUGGAGAAUCUGCCAUAAAGAAAGCGCGCGCUCAGCUGCAGAUUUUCUGGGCGCAGCGCUGCCCUGGUUUUGGAAGGCGCGCCUCUCCGUCUCCCCUGGGCAUGUGGAACAGCCGAAUGCAAGAGUGAAAACUGCCAAAAUGCUAAUCACGAUGAGAGAAAAAAAUAAAUAACACCAUCCAGAUGGGACAAAGUGGGCAUAUUUCAAGUAUCCUGGGGAACUGUGCAGUAUAUCAUUCGUGAUGCGUGGCACACCGCGCCACGGCCCUUCACAAACACACACUGCCCGGGCGUAUGCCUGCGGGGACAGGCGGAGCCGGCCGUAAAUCUGAGGGGGCCCUUCGCCCAGCUUUGCGCUCAGGCUGCGGCUGAUUCAGCGGGAUCCGGGCUGCAGUCUGCUCCCUUGGCUGCCCAUCAACUCUGCGGCUCACCCCACGGGGCAGAAUCCCAGCGGGCGAAUUCACCCCAGUGAAACUCAGAUGCUUUUCACAGCAAGGAAACUGCUGCUUUGAACGGGCCUCUGCUGCGCUGGGGAGCCACGUGCCAGGUGGCAAGGUUCCCCCAGGCCCCAGAAGGUGUCCUGGGGCUGCAGGGGCUGAGCAGGUUUGGGGUUUCCACACUCAGUUCUUACCCUCCGUCCAUCUCUGCUGAUUCGGGAGAGCGCCUGGGAUCCACUUUGCAACAAUAAAUUCAGGGGAUCUGAACAGUGGCACCAAGACACACGCUCCGGGAAACACUGAAAUCCACGAAUUACUAGGGAACUGUUUCCGUGAGUGUGGAAGAUAUUCCUCUGCAA
RNAcentral lists this long non-coding RNA (31222 nucleotides) under Marmota monax (woodchuck). Lineage: Eukaryota; Metazoa; Chordata; Mammalia; Rodentia; Sciuridae. The record is from RNAcentral.